AACUUUCCGAAUAGUAGGAUAAUUGAAUUAAGAUUAUUUUUCCCUUGACCCUAAUGAGUCAAUUUACUACUAAUCAAACCUAAAUCAUGAAUACAUAUGAUCGAUUUAAUUGGCUAUAUAAUUAAUUUCAAACCACUAGCAACUAUCUAGCAGAUUGAAACAAUUCAUAAUAUUAAAUACGGAGAAUUACAUAUGCAAGUACAAAAUAAAGUAAAAAUAACAUAUUAGAUAUCAUAUAAUAAUCUUGCUAAUGCUUCCUUAAUCGUCGCCAGAAUAAAAAGAAUGAACUAGAACUGACAAUAAAAUAAACACAAAAAAUAAAAUAAAAUUAGUGAAAAGAAAAAUGAAAGAACAGAAACUUGAUUGAUUGUAGAAGGUUUCACGUUUCCAGCAGCUUCGGUGU
RNAcentral lists this long non-coding RNA (403 nucleotides) under Salvia miltiorrhiza (redroot sage). RNAcentral's name for it is "long non-coding RNA (SMIL_LNC003831)". Lineage: Eukaryota; Viridiplantae; Streptophyta; Magnoliopsida; Lamiales; Lamiaceae. The record is from RNAcentral.